This 433-nucleotide ribosomal RNA is filed under the name uncultured bacterium. RNAcentral's name for it is "partial 16S ribosomal RNA". It matches the Rfam family "Bacterial small subunit ribosomal RNA", at positions 29 to 507 of the family's 1533-position model. The record is from RNAcentral.
AACGAACGCUGGCGGCAUGCCUAACACAUGCAAGUCGAACUAGACCUUCGGGUCUAGUGGCGCACGGGUGCGUAACGCGUGGGAACCUGCCCUUAGGUUCGGAAUAACUCCCCGAAAGGGGUGCUAAUACCGGAUAAUGUCUUCGGACCAAAGAUUUAUCGCCUUUGGAUGGGCCCGCGUUGGAUUAGCUAGUUGGUAGGGUAAAAGCCUACCAAGGCGACGAUCCAUAGCUGGUCUGAGAGGAUGAUCAGCCACACUGGGACUGAGACACGGCCCAGACUCCUACGGGAGGCAGCAGUGGGGAAUAUUGGACAAUGGGCGAAAGCCUGAUCCAGCAAUGCCGCGUGAGUGAUGAAGGCCUUAGGGUUGUAAAGCUCUUUUACCCGGGAUGAUAAUGACAGUACCGGGAGAAUAAGCGCCGGCUAACUCCGUG